This 253-nucleotide ribosomal RNA is filed under the name uncultured bacterium. RNAcentral describes it as "partial 16S ribosomal RNA". It matches the Rfam family "Bacterial small subunit ribosomal RNA", at positions 524 to 776 of the family's 1533-position model. The record is from RNAcentral.
GACAGAGGCCUCGAGCGUUAGGCGGAAUCACUGGGCUUAAAGCGUGUGUAGGCGGAUCGUUAAGUACCUUGUGAAAUCCCACGGCUCAACCGUGGAACGGCUGGGUAUACUGGCGGUCUUGGGCCAUUCAGGGGCGACUGGAACAAGCGGUGGAGCGGUGAAAUGCGUAGAUAUCGCUUGGAACGCCAAUGGUGAAAACAGCUCGCUGGGGGUUUGCUGACGCUGAGACACGAAAGCCAGGGGAGCAAACGGG